UUAAGCGACUAAGCGUACACGGUGGAUGCCCUGGCAGUCAGAGGCGAUGAAGGACGUGCUAAUCUGCGAAAAGCGCCGGCGAGGUGAUAUGAACCUUUGACCCGGCGAUGUCCGAAUGGGGAAACCCAGUGUGUUCCGACACACUAUCGUUAACUGAAUACAUAGGUUAACGAGGCGAACCGGGGGAACUGAAACAUCUAAGUACCCCGAGGAAAAGAAAUCAACCGAGAUUCCCCCAGUAGCGGCGAGCGAACGGGGAGCAGCCCGGAGUCUGAAUCAGCUUGUGUGUUAGUGGAACGGUCUGGAAAGUCCGACGGUACAGGGUGAUAGUCCCGUACACGAAAGCACACAUGCUGUGAACUCGAAGAGUAGGGCGGGACACGUGGUAUCCUGUCUGAAUAUGGGGGGACCAUCCUCCAAGGCUAAAUACUCCUGACUGACCGAUAGUGAACCAGUACCGUGAGGGAAAGGCGAAAAGAACCCCGGCGAGGGGAGUGAAAAAGAACCUGAAACCGUGUACGUACAAGCAGUGGGAGCCUCUUUAUGGGGUGACUGCGUACCUUUUGUAUAAUGGGUCAGCGACUUAUAUUCUGUAGCAAGGUUAACCGUAUAGGGGAGCCGAAGGGAAACCGAGUCUUAACUGGGCGUUAAGUUGCAGGGUAUAGACCCGAAACCCGGUGAUCUAGCCAUGGGCAGGUUGAAGGUUGGGUAACACUAACUGGAGGACCGAACCGACUAAUGUUGAAAAAUUAGCGGAUGACUUGUGGCUGGGGGUGAAAGGCCAAUCAAACCGGGAGAUAGCUGGUUCUCCCCGAAAGCUAUUUAGGUAGCGCCUCGUGAACUCAUCUUCGGGGGUAGAGCACUGUUUCGGCUAGGGGGCCAUCCCGGCUUACCAACCCGAUGCAAACUACGAAUACCGAAGAAUGUUAUCACGGGAGACACACGGCGGGUGCUAACGUCCGUCGUGAAGAGGGAAACAACCCAGACCGCCAGCUAAGGUCCCAAAGUCAUGGUUAAGUGGGAAACGAUGUGGGAAGGCACAGACAGCCAGGAUGUUGGCUUAGAAGCAGCCAUCAUUUAAAGAAAGCGUAAUAGCUCACUGGUCGAGUCGGCCUGCGCGGAAGAUGUAACGGGGCUAAACCAUGCACCGAAGCUGCGGCAGCGACACUAUGUGUUGUUGGGUAGGGGAGCGUUCUGUAAGCCGUUGAAGGUGUCCUGUGAGGGGUGCUGGAGGUAUCAGAAGUGCGAAUGCUGACAUAAGUAACGAUAAAGCGGGUGAAAAGCCCGCUCGCCGGAAGACCAAGGGUUCCUGUCCAACGUUAAUCGGGGCAGGGUGAGUCGACCCCUAAGGCGAGGCCGAAAGGCGUAGUCGAUGGGAAACAGGUUAAUAUUCCUGUACUUGGUGUUACUGCGAAGGGGGGACGGAGAAGGCUAUGUUAGCCGGGCGACGGUUGUCCCGGUUUAAGCAUGUAGGCGGAGGUUCCAGGUAAAUCCGGUUCCUUAUUAACGCUGAGGUGUGAUGACGAGGCACUACGGUGCUGAAGUAACAAAUGCCCUGCUUCCAGGAAAAGCCUCUAAGCAUCAGGUAACAUCAAAUCGUACCCCAAACCGACACAGGUGGUCAGGUAGAGAAUACCAAGGCGCUUGAGAGAACUCGGGUGAAGGAACUAGGCAAAAUGGUGCCGUAACUUCGGGAGAAGGCACGCUGAUAUGUAGGUGAAGCCCCUGCGGGUGGAGCUGAAAUCAGUCGAAGAUACCAGCUGGCUGCAACUGUUUAUUAAAAACACAGCACUGUGCAAACACGAAAGUGGACGUAUACGGUGUGACGCCUGCCCGGUGCCGGAAGGUUAAUUGAUGGGGUUAGCGGCAACGCGAAGCUCUUGAUCGAAGCCCCGGUAAACGGCGGCCGUAACUAUAACGGUCCUAAGGUAGCGAAAUUCCUUGUCGGGU
This 1950-nucleotide ribosomal RNA is filed under the name human gut metagenome. RNAcentral's name for it is "bacterial LSU rRNA". It matches the Rfam family "Bacterial large subunit ribosomal RNA", at positions 1 to 1977 of the family's 2925-position model. The record is from RNAcentral.